Molecule: long non-coding RNA, 205 nt
Filed under: Elaeis guineensis (African oil palm)
Lineage: Eukaryota; Viridiplantae; Streptophyta; Magnoliopsida; Arecales; Arecaceae
Description: long non-coding RNA (EGUI_LNC053498)
Source: RNAcentral
AAUGAUUUUGUAUUCAUUCACUUUCUCGAGUCAGAAUACAAUGUAUCUUUAUAUAUAGGGUCAAUGUGACCUAACCCAAAAACUCUCCUGGCUAACUCAAUAUAAGAUUGCACUCAUUCAAGCUUAUGCACACCCAUGACUUGACCUAAUAUUAUAAUCUUGGACUCAAUCAUAGUCCAAAUAUAAGUUAGCCCCUCAAGACCCA